GCCAGCAUGGCUUCAUGGUUUGAGUGUUGGACUACAACUCUACAGAUCAGGUUCAAAUCCCCGUUUGGCU
Phrynosoma platyrhinos (Desert horned lizard) is the source of this 70-nucleotide non-coding RNA. Lineage: Eukaryota; Metazoa; Chordata; Lepidosauria; Squamata; Phrynosomatidae. The record is from the annotation of a GenBank genome assembly.